This 469-nucleotide ribosomal RNA is filed under the name Mycobacterium sp. FI-03099. RNAcentral describes it as "bacterial SSU rRNA". It matches the Rfam family "Bacterial small subunit ribosomal RNA", at positions 30 to 516 of the family's 1533-position model. Lineage: Bacteria; Bacillati; Actinomycetota; Actinomycetes; Mycobacteriales; Mycobacteriaceae. The record is from RNAcentral.
CGAACGCUGGCGGCGUGCUUAACACAUGCAAGUCGAACGGAAAGGCCCUUCGGGGUGCUCGAGUGGCGAACGGGUGAGUAACACGUGGGUGAUCUGCCCUGCACUUUGGGAUAAGCCUGGGAAACUGGGUCUAAUACCGAAUAUGACCGCAUGCUUCAUGGUGUGUGGUGGAAAGCUUUUGCGGUGUGGGAUGGGCCCGCGGCCUAUCAGCUUGUUGGUGGGGUAAUGGCCUACCAAGGCGACGACGGGUAGCCGGCCUGAGAGGGUGACCGGCCACACUGGGACUGAGAUACGGCCCAGACUCCUACGGGAGGCAGCAGUGGGGAAUAUUGCACAAUGGGCGCAAGCCUGAUGCAGCGACGCCGCGUGGGGGAUGACGGCCUUCGGGUUGUAAACCUCUUUCAGCACAGACGAAGCGUGAGUGACGGUAUGUGCAGAAGAAGCACCGGCCAACUACGUGCCAGCAGCC